AUGGACGGCCACGGCGACGGCCGGCAGCCCAUGCUGGAGAAGGGCCCGCCGAGCCACCGGGAGCGGCACUUCACGGCCGGGGAGGUGGUGCGCGACGUCAUCAUGGGCGUGUCCGACGGCCUCACCGUGCCCUUCGCCCUCGCCGCGGGCCUCUCCGGCGCCAGCGCGCCGUCGUCGCUCGUCCUCACCGCCGGCCUCGCCGAGGUCGCCGCCGGGGCGAUCUCCAUGGGCCUCGGAGGGUACCUGGCUGCCCAAAGCGAGGCAGAUCACUACAAGCGGGAGAUGAAGAGGGAGCAGGAGGAGAUCAUUGCCGUCCCAGACACCGAGGCUGCUGAGAUUGGGGAUAUCAUGGCAGAGUACGGGCUCGAACCGCAUGAGUAUGGCCCUGUUGUGGAGGGCCUCCGGAGGAACCCGCAGGCUUGGCUCGAGUUCAUGAUGAGGUUUGAGCUCGGAUUGGAGAAGCCGGACCCUAGAAGAGCCUUGCAGAGCGCUUUAACAAUAGCGCUAUCUUAUAUCAUCGGUGGAUUGGUCCCUCUCCUGCCCUACAUGUUCAUCUCCACUGUCCAGGACGCCAUGCUCACAUCAGUUGGAGUCACGCUGCUCGCGCUCCUUUUCUUUGGCUACAUCAAGGGUCGAUUUACUGGGAACCGCCCGUUCCUUAGCGCUGUCCAGACUACUAUUAUUGGUGCUGUUGCUUCUGCUGCGGCGUACAGGAUGGCGAAGGCUGUGCAAGCUAGAUAA
RNAcentral lists this ribosomal RNA (741 nucleotides) under Triticum aestivum (bread wheat). RNAcentral's name for it is "partial small subunit ribosomal RNA". Lineage: Eukaryota; Viridiplantae; Streptophyta; Magnoliopsida; Poales; Poaceae. The record is from RNAcentral.